This 429-nucleotide ribosomal RNA is filed under the name uncultured bacterium. RNAcentral describes it as "partial 16S ribosomal RNA". It matches the Rfam family "Bacterial small subunit ribosomal RNA", at positions 338 to 795 of the family's 1533-position model. The record is from RNAcentral.
CCUACGGGGGGCUGCAGUAACGAAUCUUCCGCAAUGCACGAAAGUGUGACGGAGCGACGCCGCGUGUAGGACGAAGCCCUUCGGGGUGUAAACUACUGUCAGGGGCUACCGGGGCCCCAGAGGAAGGCACGGCUAACUCUGUGCCAGCAGCCGCGGUAAGACAGAGGUGCCAAGCGUUAGGCGGAAUCACUGGGCUUAAAGCGCGUGUAGGCGGGUCGUUAAGUACCUUGUGAAAUCCCACGGCUCAACCGUGGAACUGCUGGGUAUACUGGCGAUCUUGAGGCAUCUAGGGGCAGCUGGAACAAGUGGUGGAGCGGUGAAAUGCGUAGAUAUCACUUGGAACGCCGAAGGUGAAGACAAGCUGCUGGGAGAACUGACGCUGAGACGCGAAAGCCAGGGGAGCGAACGGGAUUAGAUACCCCUGUAGUC